ACCGGCAGCUCAAGUGGUGGCCAUUAUUAUUGGGCCUAAAGCGUUCGUAGCCGGUUUGAUAAGUCUCUGGUGAAAUCCCGCAGCUUAACUGUGGGACUUGCUGGAGAUACUAUCAGACUUGAGGUCGGGAGAGGUUAGGGGUACUCCCAGGGUAGGGGUGAAAUGCUAUGAUCCUGGGAGGACCACCGGUGGCGAAGGCGGCUAGCUGGAACGUUCCUGACGCUGAGUAACGAAAGCCAGGGGAGCGAACCG
Molecule: ribosomal RNA, 252 nt
Filed under: uncultured prokaryote
Description: partial 16S rRNA
Rfam family: Archaeal small subunit ribosomal RNA
Source: RNAcentral